RNAcentral lists this ribosomal RNA (303 nucleotides) under uncultured bacterium. RNAcentral's name for it is "partial 16S ribosomal RNA". It matches the Rfam family "Bacterial small subunit ribosomal RNA", at positions 507 to 807 of the family's 1533-position model. The record is from RNAcentral.
AGCAGUCGCCGCGGUAAUACGAAGGGGGCUAGCGUUGUUCGGAAUUACUGGGCGUAAAGCGCACGUAGGCGGAUAUUUAAGUCAGGGGUGAAAUCCCGCAGCUCAACUGCGGAACUGCCUUUGAUACUGGGUAUCUUGAGUAUGGAAGAGGUUAGUGGAAUUGCGAGUGUAGAGGUGAAAUUCGUAGAUAUUCGCAGGAACACCAGUGGCGAAGGCGGCUAACUGGUCCAUAACUGACGCUGAGGUGCGAAAGCGUGGGGAGCAAACAGGAUUAGAUACCCGCGUAGUCCCUGUCUCUUAUAC